Molecule: long non-coding RNA, 4037 nt
Organism: Ostrea edulis (European flat oyster)
Lineage: Eukaryota; Metazoa; Mollusca; Bivalvia; Ostreida; Ostreidae
Exons: 4
Source: RefSeq, a predicted model, not a curated record
UUACAGAUUUUCAAAAACUACGUACGAUCUAGCAGAUUGACGAUUUUAUUAUCUCCCUUUGCUAACUCUUUAGUGUUAAAGAUACGAUUGUUUGGGGAAACAUGACAAUAUGUCAUACGAGUUGGCGGUUUGAAGACAGACGAUGCCGUUUUGUAGCAUUUCUUUAUGGACAAAUACUCCAUGUGAAGAGGUUUCAAAGACAGUUUAUGUGAAUGACUAUAAGAAAUCGGUAGCUAGAUAUUUAUGCUCCUUAAACAAAUCACAUUGCGGGAAAUCUAUGACGCAAGGCCCGCCUGCGCCUGUGUCUAUUUUCACAAUCACACGUUGGAAUUUUUCGGUUGUUUCAUAUCAUCAGAGUUCUUUGGAGUGGAUGAGAAAUACUACAUGUGUUCUCCCAGAUCACUCGGUCAGUUGUAUUGGAUAUACGAACCGGAUAUGGGCAUAUAUCAUUAACAUUCGGGAUGAGCAACAUGCUUGUGGAAAAAUGCUUAACUGGCUAUGGCCAGUAUGGGUGGCGGUGCAGUAUACAAGGAAUCUGUUCACUGAAAUUCCAAGAAGAUUCCAUGAUUUGCUUGCCAUACAACAAACAACAGAUUAUGGACAUGAUUCCUAGAAUUAGAACUUGAAUGGGUCAGACUUGAAUACAUGCAUUUUAGUCAUGUAGCAAUAUUAAAGGUGUUGUACUUCAGGAAAAGGGGAAGCGUAUUUGUUGGAAGAUGGAUAAAGAAAAAUUGGAGCAUGCACUAGACUUCUUUAAAUCCUGCUUUUUUAUCAGGUAACAUCAUUGAGUACAAAAGAAAUGCACCUUCACAGUAGACAACUUAUAACCUUUCGACAAGAAAUUGGGACUGCCUGCCAUUCAACCAUUGUACAUAUAUGAAUUUACCAGUCCUGUUGUGAAGAAACUUAUUUCAUCCUCUUUCAAAGGCCAUGCUAUUUAGGAUUUUAACUACUUGUCCUGCAUCACAAGCUUAAAAAGACUUCACAAUCUGGCUGCAGAUGGAACUGCAUGGUUUGAAAUCCUCAUAGGAAUUCUGAGAAGCAUGGAGGCCUAUAAACCAGAUAAUGACAAUAUUUCAUAGUUCGAGAAGUACCAGAAAAAUUUACUUGCAGCAAAAUUGUACAUAAAGAGAAACUCACUCAAGCAUGAAUGUAGAAUAAUUACAAAGAUGCAGAAUAUAUAUAUAUAUAUAUAUAUAUAGAGAGAGAGAGAGAGAGAGAGAGAGAGAGAGAAUUAUAUGGUGAUAUAAUUAAAUUCAUUGAAGACAAUGGGUAUGGCAUAUCAGUAGAGAAUCAUGAUUCAUACGGUGAUAUUUUUCAAUUGUAUACUCGUUUCAGUGCAAUGGCAUUGUACAAAUAAAUAUUUUAAGUGUUGUAAGGGAAAGUGGUUGCUAUGGUGAUAUGUGUAAACAUAUUGUCUUUCAUGGGUCCGACAUGUCAGUAAAUAAUUACAUGUUGAUAUAUUUGUAUUAUAUUCUCAUUUGAAGGCAAUUGGAAUUGUACAGUUUGAAAUUUUUGCUUGUUGCUAGGGAAAAUUGGUUGCUAUGGUGAUAUAGUUAAAUCUGAUGUCCUCAUUGGAUUCAACAUAUCAGUAGAAAAUCACAUAUUGGUAUAUUUGCAUUAGGUUCUCAUUCCAGUGCAAUUUAAUCAUACAACUUUAAAUUUUAUGUGCGUUGCUAAGGAAAAUCAGUUGCUAUGGUGAUAUGGUUUAAGUCUGAUUUCUCCAAUUGGUCUGAAAUGUCAAUAAACUAAAGUGAACCCUGAUGAUUUGUAUUUAUUUUCAGUUAAUAUAAUCAUUUUAAUGCAUAUAUUGCAGAUAUUCUUGUUUUAUUGUGUUGGAAAUGGGUCUGAAAGAGUUGCCUAGCAACCGUUACUAUGUGCAUUUCCGACUCUUUUUGAUUUUUAUAUUGAGUACACUUAGUAUUGAUUGUUUAGAAAAUAUGUAUCAAAAUUUGGCACUUUUCGGAUAACUAAAGUAAUAUGUAUUUAAAAUACCUUAAAAUUGUCGAAUUUACAGAAAAUUGAUAAAUAUUAAAACAAUGCCUAUUCCAAAGUCCUCUACAGAUACCAUAUAAUAGUAUUUCAUUAGUAUUGUACAUUUUUAUAUUGAAGUAACCUUUACCUUGCAUAAAUAAAUUAUCAUUAUGUUUGAAAAAUUAUUAUUUUCAUUUUUAUACAAAUUUUAAGAAGUAUGUAUUUCUGCAGUUUACAAAACCCAAUACAGUGGUUGCUAUGGAAACACAAAUGCUUUAAUUUCCAUAGCAACCAUUGAUGCACAAUGUUUUUACUCUGCACGUCUUCAUAUAUCAUUAUUAUGAAGAGUUAUGGAAAGUUUCAUGAAAAUCCAAGAUUAUCAGUGUGCCACCUUCUGCAUGAUUCUUACGUGGACUAUUCUAAAAAAAAAAAAAAACAUUUCUUAACCAUAAUUUGACAUUAGUCAAAUUAAUUUAAGUAUCUGAUAGACAUUGGAAGAAAUAUGAUAUUAACAGUACACAGUUUGUUCAUCUUGUUUUAAUUAAUUUUAUUUGUGUAAAGUCUCUAAUUUAGCAUUUCUGUUAAAUUGAAGUUUUAGUAAUUUCCAGUUAUACAUGUGCAAAUCAUACCAUUUUAUUUAUCAUCAAAUUCUAUGUAUUGGUUUCAUACAUGUAUCAUAUAUAUCUGUGGAUUCAAUUAGUACAGUACUUUUGUAGAUUGUUUGUAGUACUGAAAUGAAAGAGCUACAGAAUUAUUGGCUCUAGUUACUUUCGGAGAGGAACCUUGUUCCACAAACUGGUGAUUGAAUCACAUUAUGUUUUUAUCAUAAUAUGUAAUGCAACAGCUUUACAAGGAUAUUCAUAUGACUAUUUGUGUUUUUAUAAUGUCUGUACCUGUGUGCAAUUCAUGAUGAGUAAUAGGUUACAGACUACUAAUUUGACCCCUAUUUCAUUGACCACGCAAGUAGUGCCUGUUUAUAAAUAGAGGUUUUUUCUUAAAAAUUCUUGGGGAUGUAUGUGGGGUGGAUUUGUGUUAUUAUAGGGCAUAUAUGGAAAGAAGAGGGUCUGAAAAAAAUUAAAAACUUCUAAUAAUGGGAAAUUCUGCUCUUAAGUGUGUAGUAGGAAGGGUGUAAAUAGGCCAUUGUUUACCUGCUUCUCAAAGGGAAAGGGAAAUAUGCAGGGUAGGGGUUACUUGCGGUGUCAUAACAGGACUUGUGUGCGGUGGAUUUUCCUGAGAUUCACAAAUAUUUUUGGACUUGAAUUGCUCGAAGUCUGUACCAAGUUUCAGGUAAGUUGAGGCGGUGGAAUUUUUUUUAUUAAUUUUUAUGUUAUAAAGGAAUGUAUAGCAAAAUAAUUGGUAGUCUGUGUCCAAUAUUCAUUUAAUGACAGGAGAUUAUCAAUAUGAAGGGGAAUAACGUGUAUUUUCAGAAUACUUAGAUGUUUCAUGAUAAGAGUUAUCCUUCUUGUGCAUUAUUAAGUAUCAGAAUUUAUAUUUAUGUAUUUAAACCUGCAUUGAAGACAUUCUAGAUUCCCUAGCAAGCAAUGCAUAUUUCUCAGUUUUAGACUUGAAGAGUGGUUAUCACCAGGUAGAAUUUAGGGAAAAUCAUAAGCAAAGAACUGCAUUCACAGUUGGGCCACUUGGAUUUUCUGGAAGAUAAUAGAAUACCUUUUGGACUUGCGAAUGCUCUGGCAUCAUACCAAACGUUAAUGGAAAAUUGUCUAGACGACUUAACAUCUGAAUAUCUGCUUCAUUUAUAUUUUAAGUCUCAUCAUGUUUUCGAAAACAUUUGAAAACCACAUUAAAGGGCUUUCAUAAAGUAUUUAACUGUGUUAGUAACAACAGUUUAAAACUGUCUCCAAAGAAAUGUGCAUUCUUCAUGAACAAAUUAAAAUAUUUGUGUACUCAUGUCGUCAAAAUAUGACUAAUCAAGGUCCUGCAGAUCUUUGAAGAUUUUUUCCCUACAUAUCUUCAUUUAAACUCUGAAUUUCCACUCUUGAAAGAAGCUUUCCUAUAAGUUUUGUUUUUGCUGGUCCAAUGGUUCUUAAGAUUUUUUAAUUACCCCC